AGGUGGCAGCUGCAACAAAGCUGCAGCCUUGAUUACCUUAAUUACAUUAAUCAAGCCCUUGGGCUUUUAUAGCUCCUCUCAGCAGCCCUAGGGGCUCAGAGGGCUAUCAUCUGACAGAGCAGAAUGAGCUCGGCAAGAGAAGACAGACAGACGGUGCCGGGGGGACGCUGAUGUUUCUCACCGUUGUGCAGCUGUGCCACAGGUCCAGCAGAGGAAUCUUCUUUCAGCUUAUCUCAGGCCUCCAGAAAGCCUUUCCUCGGUUCCCUUCUGGCCAUCUCUCUGUUCCCAAGUGAUGCUGCACCUCCUGAAACACUGCUGGAGCUCUGCCUGACUGCAUCAGCUACCUGAGCUGCUCUGCUGCUCAAUCCUCCCAGUAACCAGAGACUCUUUUACAUCAGUCUUCAGCCUCCCUUGAAAACCCUACUGAGCCACAGCAACCUGAUCAUCAGGAACUGAUGGACAGGCUCUGUCCCAUAUGGUUACUAGCUGAGGAGGUAUUAGCCUCCGUGGGGAAAGGAACUGUGUACAUUGUCAGCUCUGCUAUCUGAGCACCCAGCAGCCCCACAGACAUCUCCACCUGAAAUCCAAGAGCCAGACCAGUCCAUGUAGCCCCUGUGUGCAUCCCUCCUCCUUUGCCUGGCUAUGAUAGACCCAGGCUCUCUCACAGCUCUGGGGACCAACCUCACUUAGUCGUAACAAGUCUCAAAAGCUCUUUCACAGCAACCCAUGUGUGAACUCAACACCAUCUACCUGCCUCUGUCCUGCACUGGGCAGGUAGAAGGGCACUGGGCACAGUUGGGCUUGGAUGCUGGGGGGUUCAGCCAGAGUGCACUCCACA
This is a long non-coding RNA of Pogoniulus pusillus (Red-fronted tinkerbird), 838 nucleotides long. RefSeq lists it as uncharacterized. The transcript is spliced from 2 exons. NCBI's taxonomy places the organism in Eukaryota, Metazoa, Chordata, Aves, Piciformes, Lybiidae. The record is from RefSeq and is a predicted model, not a curated record.